GACGAACGCUGGCGGCGUGCUUAACACAUGCAAGUCGAACGGAAAGGCCCCAGCUUGCUGGAGUACUCGAGUGGCGAACGGGUGAGUAACACGUGGGUAAUCUGCCCUGCACUCUGGGAUAAGCCUGGGAAACUGGGUCUAAUACUGGAUAUGACCUUUCUCCUUAUGGUGUUUGGUGGAAAGUUUUUCGGUGUAGGAUGAGCCCGCGGCCUAUCAGCUUGUUGGUGGGGUGAUGGCCUACCAAGGCGACGACGGGUAGCCGGCCUGAGAGGGUGAUCGGCCACAUUGGGACUGAGAUACGGCCCAGACUCCUACGGGAGGCAGCAGUGGGGAAUAUUGCACAAUGGGCGGAAGCCUGAUGCAGCGACGCCGCGUGAGGGAUGACGGCCUUCGGGUUGUAAACCUCUUUCAGCAGGGACGAAGCGUAAGUGACGGUACCUGCAGAAGAAGCACCGGCUAACUACGUG
This 467-nucleotide ribosomal RNA is filed under the name uncultured bacterium. RNAcentral's name for it is "partial 16S ribosomal RNA". It matches the Rfam family "Bacterial small subunit ribosomal RNA", at positions 28 to 507 of the family's 1533-position model. The record is from RNAcentral.